RNAcentral lists this microRNA precursor (81 nucleotides) under Cricetulus griseus (Chinese hamster). The record is from RNAcentral. Lineage: Eukaryota; Metazoa; Chordata; Mammalia; Rodentia; Cricetidae.
GAGACUGAAAGCAUGGGUGUCCCUCUCUGAUCACCCAGCAAUCACACAACCAUAAAAGGAAAAAUCUACCCUUUAAAUACC